This 253-nucleotide ribosomal RNA is filed under the name uncultured bacterium. RNAcentral's name for it is "partial 16S ribosomal RNA". It matches the Rfam family "Bacterial small subunit ribosomal RNA", at positions 524 to 776 of the family's 1533-position model. The record is from RNAcentral.
GACGGAGGGCGCGAGCGUUGUUCGGAAUCACUGGGCGUAAAGCGCACGCAGGCGGUCUCUUAAGUCCACUGUUAAAUCACGGGGCUCAACCCCGGAGGUGCAGUGGAUACUGAGGGACUGGAGACCGGUAGAGGCUAGCGGAAUUCCUGGUGUAGCGGUGGAAUGCGUAGAUAUCAGGAGGAACACCGGUGGCGAAGGCGGCUAGCUGGGCCGGUUCUGACGCUCAUGUGCGAAAGCGUGGGGAGCAAACAGG